RNAcentral lists this ribosomal RNA (402 nucleotides) under uncultured bacterium. RNAcentral describes it as "bacterial SSU rRNA". It matches the Rfam family "Bacterial small subunit ribosomal RNA", at positions 355 to 775 of the family's 1533-position model. The record is from RNAcentral.
UGAGGAAUAUUGAGCAAUGGGCGCAAGCCUGACUCAGCAACGCCGCGUGGACGAUGACGGCCUUCGGGUUGUAAAGUCCUUUUCUGAGGGACGAUGAUGACGGUACCUCAGGAAGAAGUCCCGGCUAACUACGUGCCAGCAGCCGCGGUAAAACGUAGGGGGCGAGCGUUAUCCGGAUUUACUGGGCGUAAAGCGCAUGUAGGCGGUUGGGAAAGUUGGACGUAAAGCUCCUGGCUCAACUGGGAGAGGUCGCUCAAGACUGGCUGACUCGAGGAUGGUAGGGGAAGGUGGAAUUCCGGGUGUAGUGGUGAAAUGCGUAGAUAUCCGGAGGAACACCAGUGGCGAAGGCGGCCUUCUGGACCAUCACUGACGCUCAGACGCGAAAGCUAGGGUAGCAAACGG